RNAcentral lists this ribosomal RNA (830 nucleotides) under uncultured bacterium. RNAcentral describes it as "bacterial SSU rRNA". It matches the Rfam family "Bacterial small subunit ribosomal RNA", at positions 8 to 840 of the family's 1533-position model. The record is from RNAcentral.
AGAGUUUGAUCAUGGCUCAGGACGAACGCUGGCGGCGUGCCUAACACAUGCAAGUCGAACGGAGUGCUUGCAUCUGAUUCUUUCGGGAUGAAGAAGCAAGUAUCUCAGUGGCGAACGGGUGAGUAACGCGUGAGAAACCUGCCUUUCACAAAGGGAUAGCCUCGGGAAACUGGGAUUAAUACCAUAUAAAGUUCCAAAUUAGCAUUAAAAAGGAACCAAAGUGUAAGCGGUGAAAGAUGGUCUCGCGUCCCAUUAGCUAGUUGGUGAGAUAAAAGCCCACCAAGGCGACGAUGGGUAGCCGGCCUGAGAGGGUGACCGGCCACGCUGGAACUGAGACACGGUCCAGACUCCUACGGGAGGCAGCAGUGGGGAAUAUUGCACAAUGGAGGGAACUCUGAUGCAGCGACGCCGCGUGAGCGAAGAAGGCUUUCGAGUCGUAAAGCUCUGUCCUAGGGGACGAUAAUGACGGUACCCAAGGAGGAAGCCCCGGCUAACUACGUGCCAGCAGCCGCGGUAAUACGUAGGGGGCGAGCGUUGUCCGGAAUUAUUGGGCGUAAAGGGUUCGCAGGCGGCCUAUUAAGUCAGAUGUGAAAUCCCAUGGCUUAACCAUGGUAAGCAUUUGAAACUGGAAGGCUUGAGUUAAGGAGAGGAAAGUGGAAUUCCUAGUGUAGCGGUGAAAUGCGUAGAUAUUAGGAGGAAUACCAGUGGCGAAGGCGACUUUCUGGACUUUAACUGACGCUGAGGAACGAAAGCGUGGGUAGCAAACAGGAUUAGAUACCCUGUAGUCCACGCCGUAAACGAUGAGUGCUAGGUGUUGGGGGUCAAACCUC